UACGAAGGGGGCUAGCGUUGCUCGGAAUCACUGGGCGUAAAGGGUGCGUAGGCGGGUCUUUAAGUCAGGGGUGAAAUCCUGGAGCUCAACUCCAGAACUGCCUUUGAUACUGAGGAUCUUGAGUUCGGGAGAGGUGAGUGGAACUGCGAGUGUAGAGGUGAAAUUCGUAGAUAUUCGCAAGAACGCCAGUGGUGAAGACGGGUAACUGGGCCGGUUCUGACACUGAGGCACGAAAGCGUGGGGAGCGAACGGG
Molecule: ribosomal RNA, 253 nt
Filed under: uncultured bacterium
Lineage: Bacteria
Description: partial 16S ribosomal RNA
Rfam family: Bacterial small subunit ribosomal RNA
Source: RNAcentral